This is a long non-coding RNA of Zonotrichia albicollis (white-throated sparrow), 1704 nucleotides long. NCBI's taxonomy places the organism in Eukaryota, Metazoa, Chordata, Aves, Passeriformes, Passerellidae. The record is from Ensembl.
UUAUUGACUGUCAGCAUUACUGACACAAGCUGGGGCUGGGUGGUGCUCAACACACUUUAACAGCAGAGAGGAGCGGUUCUGUCUGCCCGUACAACGCGACACCUUCCGAUCGCCUGCCCCUAACUGACCACAAGGGAGGGAACACCAGGGUGGCCCAGGGAUGUGACAUCACCAGGUUCAGGGUCGCAUGGAGGCUCUGGGUGAAUCUCCUCAGGUCCUCGUGCAAGUCUGGGGAGUUGCCCCAGUGUGGCCAAGUCACAGCAGCCGCCACCUUGCCCAGGGUGGCCACCACGGCCAUCAGUGCCUGCAGCUGCUGAGGGGACACCUGGGGAGAGGACAGGGGAGGUGUCAGGGACCUGGUGGCACUUAGAGCCUGCUGCAAUGGCUCCUGUGGCCCCAAGGGGUCUGCUUUGUCCCUCCAUCCCUUUGUCGGCCUCCUGUCCCUGCUGCCCCCGCCCCAUUGGCCCCUGUGUCCCCCCAGUGUAGUCUCUGACCCCCCUCACCCCCACCAUCGCACCUCUUGGAGCUCCAUGCUCACUGGGGAGAUCUUGGGGACGCUCCGGGGACACUCUGGGGGUCGAAGGAGCCUUGGGAUGUCCUCGAUGGCUCUUUGGCACCGGUCAGCCUCACCACAGGCACUGGGGCUCUUUGGGCUCCACGGUCACUGGGGACACCUUGGGGACACCUUGGGGACGCUCUGGUGGCGAAGGAGCCCCGGGACCAGCGGCAGUUGCAGCUCAGAAACCGUUCCGGGAACGGUGCCAAGAAAAGGCGGAGCCGCCUCAUGAGGGGCGGGAAAGGGGCCGGGCGCCCGCUGUUUCCCCGUACCGCCCUUAUGCAUAAAAGCUCCAGGCUCUGGGCGCUUUGGCUCAACCCCAGGGAAAUUAGGAUCCGUCCCCAGGGAAUUUAGGCUCAGUCUCGGCAUUUCCAGGCGGAUUCCGCCCUUUCUGGCCGGAUUUAUGAGGGACCGCGGAGCGCUCCGAGGGGCAGGCGGAACUGCCCUCACACUAUAUGGCGGCGGAGCCUCACGCCAAAGACGGGCAGUUUGCGCUGGUUGAGCCCGGGGAGCGCUCCUGGGGGACGCUGCCGGGUGGAUUUGGGCGCUUUGGUUGAAUCCCAGGGGAUUUAGGAUCCAUCCCCAGGGGGUUUAGGCUCAGUCCCGGCAUUUCCAGGCGGAUUCCGCUCUUUCUGGCCGGAUUAAUGAGGGAACGCAAAGCGCUCCGAGGAGCGGGCGGAACUGCCCUCACGCAAGAUGGCGGCGCUGCUUCAGGGAAACAACGGGAGCUGUCCUGGCUCUCUUUAGAGGCCCCAGGGGUCCUGCAGGGUUUUAGGCCGAGUUUGGGGUGGUUUAAGCGGAAUUAUGGGGGGAUUUAGGCUGAAUUUGGGGGAUUUAAGUGGAGUUUGGAAUCCCCGUUGCUCCGCUCGUCUGUAGCCACAUCCAGGACCGGGCGGAAGUGCCCUCACCCAAAAUGGCGGCGCAGCCUCACGCCACAGACGGACAGUUUGCGCUGGUAGAGCCUGGGGAGCGCUCCUAAAGGGACGCUGCUGGGUGGAUUUGUGAGCUUUGGUUGAAUGCCAGAGAAUUUAGACUCAGCCCCGGUUGAUUUAGGUUCUGUCCCGCCAUUUCCAGGCAGAUUCCACCGUUUCGCGCUGGAUUUAUAAGGGAACGCAGAGCGCUCUGAGGAGCGGGCGGAGCUGCCCUCA